AGUUAAAAAGCUCGUAGUUGGAUUUCGGAGUGAGCUAGUUGGUCCGCCGCAAGGUGUGUUACUGACUAGUUUGCUCUUCUUCGCAAAGACUGCGUGUGCUCUUGAGUGAGUGUGCGUAGGAUUUACGACGUUUACUUUGAAAAAAUUAGAGUGUUCAAAGCAGGCUAUUGCUUGAAUACAUGAGCAUGGAAUAAUGGAAUAGGACUUUGGUCCCAUUUUGUUGGUUUCUAGGACCGAAGUAAUGAUUAAGAGGGACAAUUGGGGGCAUCCGUAUUUCGUUGUCAGAGGUGAAAUUCUUGGAUUUACGAAAGGCGAACAACUGCGAAAGCACUUGCCAAGAGUGUUUUCAUUAAUCAAGAACGAAAGUUAGAGGAUCGAAGACGAUCAGAUACCGU
This 395-nucleotide ribosomal RNA is filed under the name uncultured marine eukaryote. Its description in RNAcentral is "SSU rRNA". It matches the Rfam family "Eukaryotic small subunit ribosomal RNA", at positions 617 to 1018 of the family's 1831-position model. The record is from RNAcentral.